RNAcentral lists this ribosomal RNA (443 nucleotides) under uncultured bacterium. RNAcentral describes it as "partial 16S ribosomal RNA". It matches the Rfam family "Bacterial small subunit ribosomal RNA", at positions 338 to 795 of the family's 1533-position model. The record is from RNAcentral.
CCUACGGGAGGCAGCAGUGGGGAAUAUUGGGCAAUGGAGGAAACUCUGACCCAGCAACGCCGCGUGAAUGAUGAAGGUCUUCGGAUUGUAAAGUUCUUUUCUAAGGGAAGAAGAAAGUGACGGUACCUUAGGAAUAAGCCUCGGCUAACUACGUGCCAGCAGCCGCGGUAAUACGUAGGAGGCGAGCGUUAUCCGGAAGGACUGGGCGUAAAGGGGGCGUAGGUGGUUUGGCAAGUUAGUAGCGAAACUCCCAGGCUCAACCUUGGAACUACUACUAAAACUGUUGGACUUGAGUGCAGGAGGGGCAACCGGAAUUCCUGGUGUAGCGGUGGAAUGCGUAGAUAUUAGGAGGAACACCAGUGGCGAAGGCGGGUUGCUAGACUGUAACUGACACUGAGGCACGAAGGCGUGGGGAGCAAACAGGAUUAGAUACCCUUGUAGUC